CGUGCCGGGACAUAAUUCUCGUACAUUUUUAUACCUUCGCCGUGAUCAGCUGUCCCGUUGCAAACAAAGGGAUUCUUAUCAAGCAACAUCUUAAUCUUGUACAUAAUCCGCUAUUCUGCAGUGAUUUUCUUUCACUCCAGUAUCAUUUGUACGUUGCAGCAUCAUCAAACACUAUGGCCGAUGAAUCAGAAGAUGACGUAGAUGCUACGAGAGAGCUCAUUUCACAAUGGACAACAGAAGUGAUACGUGCCUUUCUACAAGGAGGGGACUCAAGCUUGGAAAUUGAGGAGUCAUUAUUUUAUGGGUGUUCUCUGCCCUGACGCUGGGGGUACUGUUCAGCCAUCCGAGGUAUAGAGGUAGAGAGGAACUGGACGAUGGAUGGAUGGGGGGGGGGGGGGAGAAAGAAAGGCAUGCAGAGAUGGCUGUCUACUAUGUAUAGAGACAUUUGUGUGCUACUGGAUAAGGACCCUCCAUCACUAGAGGGAAGAAUAAUGAGAGACUACAAAUAGGGGAAGGCAUUUAGUUAUUUUGCCAGUUUCUGGUUAGGGAGACAUUUGUUUCAUCUCCUGGGAGAAAGCUGUCUGAAAUUCAAAAUGUAUUUGAUACUUGAAUAAAUUUAGUUCAUUUUCUAGACUGGUUCAUGUCAAACC
Molecule: long non-coding RNA, 650 nt
Filed under: Strongylocentrotus purpuratus (purple sea urchin)
Lineage: Eukaryota; Metazoa; Echinodermata; Echinoidea; Camarodonta; Strongylocentrotidae
Description: uncharacterized LOC115924461
Source: RNAcentral